GAUCCUGGCUCAGGACGAACGCUGGCGGCGUGCCUAAUACAUGCAAGUCGAACGCUUCUUUUUCCACCGGAGCUUGCUCCACCGGAAAAAGAGGAGUGGCGAACGGGUGAGUAACACGUGGGUAACCUGCCCAUCAGAAGGGGAUAACACUUGGAAACAGGUGCUAAUACCGUAUAACAAUCGAAACCGCAUGGUUUUGAUUUGAAAGGCGCUUUCGGGUGUCGCUGAUGGAUGGACCCGCGGUGCAUUAGCUAGUUGGUG
This 261-nucleotide ribosomal RNA is filed under the name uncultured bacterium. RNAcentral's name for it is "partial 16S ribosomal RNA". It matches the Rfam family "Bacterial small subunit ribosomal RNA", at positions 15 to 254 of the family's 1533-position model. The record is from RNAcentral.